This 72-nucleotide transfer RNA is filed under the name Camelus bactrianus (Bactrian camel). It matches the Rfam family "tRNA". Rfam says of the family: Transfer RNA (tRNA) molecules are approximately 80 nucleotides in length. Their secondary structure includes four short double-helical elements and three loops (D, anti-codon, and T loops). Lineage: Eukaryota; Metazoa; Chordata; Mammalia; Artiodactyla; Camelidae. The record is from Rfam by way of RNAcentral. RNAcentral also lists the same sequence under 1 other name.
GGAGGUACAGCUCAGUGGUAUAACGUGUGCUUAGCAUUCACGGGGUCCUGGGUUCAAUCCCUAGUAUCUCCA